RNAcentral lists this ribosomal RNA (440 nucleotides) under uncultured bacterium. RNAcentral describes it as "partial 16S ribosomal RNA". It matches the Rfam family "Bacterial small subunit ribosomal RNA", at positions 338 to 795 of the family's 1533-position model. The record is from RNAcentral.
CCUACGGGAGGCAGCAGUGGGGAAUAUUGGACAAUGGGGGGAACCCUGAUCCAGCGACGCCGCGUGAGUGAAGAAGUAUUUCGGUAUGUAAAGCUCUAUCAGCAGGGAAGAACAAGACGGUACCUGACUAAGAAGCCCCUGCGAACUACGUGCCAGCAGCCGCGGGCAUACGAAGGGGGCAAGCGCUCUCCGGUUCUACUGUGUGUAAAGGGAGCGUAGACGGUGCCGCAAGUCUGAUGUGAAAGGCCGGGGCGCAACCCGGGGACUGCAUUGGAAACUGGUGAACUGGAGUUCAGGAGAGGAGAGUGGAAUUCCUAGUGUAGCGGUGAAAUGCGUAGAUAGUAGGAGGAACACCAGUGGCGAAGGCGGCUUACUGGACUGUAACUGACGUUGAGGCUCGAAAGCGUGGGGAGCAAACAGGAUUAGAUACCCUUGUAGUC